This 457-nucleotide ribosomal RNA is filed under the name uncultured bacterium. Its description in RNAcentral is "partial 16S ribosomal RNA". It matches the Rfam family "Bacterial small subunit ribosomal RNA", at positions 338 to 795 of the family's 1533-position model. The record is from RNAcentral.
CCUACGGGUGGCAGCAGUGGGGAAUAUUGCACAAUGGGGGAACCCCUGAUGCAGCGACGCCGCGUGAGUGAAGAAGUAUUUCGGUAUGUAAAGCUCUAUCAGCAGGGAAGAAAUAGCGACCUUUGGGUCGCCAGACGGUACCUGACUAAGAAGCCCCGGCUAACUACGUGCCAGCAGCCGCGGUAAUACGUAGGGGGCAAGCGUUAUCCGGAGUUAUUGGGUUUAAAGGGUGCGUAGGCGGAUUUUUAAGUCAGCGGUAAACUGUCCGGGCUCAACCCGGGCCGGCCGUUGAAACUGGGGAUCUUGAGUGGGCGAGAAGUAUGCGGAAUGCGUGGUGUAGCGGUGAAAUGCAUAGAUAUCACGCAGAACUCCGAUUGCGAAGGCAGCAUACCGGCGCCCGACUGACGCUGAGGCACGAAAGCGUGGGGAUCGAACAGGAUUAGAUACCCCUGUAGUC